GUUAGGAAUAUUGGACAAUGGGCGCAAGCCUGAUCCAGCCAUGCCGCGUGUGUGAAGAAGGUCUUCGGAUUGUAAAGCACUUUAAGUUGGGAGGAAGGGCAGUAAGUUAAUACCUUGCUGUUUUGACGUUACCGACAGAAUAAGCACCGGCUAACUUCGUGCCAGCAGCCGCGGUAAUACGAAGGGUGCAAGCGUUAAUCGGAGUUACUGGGCGUAAAGCGCGCGUAGGUGGUUUUGUAAGUUGGAGGUGAAAUCCCCGGGCUCAACCUGGGAACUGCCUCCAAAACUGCAUGACUAGAGUACGGUAGAGGGUAGUGGAAUUUCCUGUGUAGCGGUGAAGUGCGUAGAUAUAGGAAGGAACACCAGUGGCGAAGGCGACUACCUGGACUGAUACUGACACUGAGGUGCGAAAGCGUGGGGAGCAAACAGGAUUAGAUACCCCGGUAGUCC
Molecule: ribosomal RNA, 450 nt
Filed under: uncultured bacterium
Lineage: Bacteria
Description: partial 16S ribosomal RNA
Rfam family: Bacterial small subunit ribosomal RNA
Source: RNAcentral